Molecule: long non-coding RNA, 731 nt
Filed under: Homo sapiens (human)
Lineage: Eukaryota; Metazoa; Chordata; Mammalia; Primates; Hominidae
Description: HSALNT0241067
Source: RNAcentral
UUCCAUUGCUACUGACUGGAUGCCAGCUGUGAGCCAGGCACCACCCUAGCUCUGGGCAUGUGGUUGUAAUCUUGGAGCCUCAUGGAGCUCACAGGGAGUGCUGGCAAGGAGAUGGAUAAUGGACGGAUAACAAAUAAACAUUUAGUACAAUGUCCGGGAAUGGAAAGUUCUCGAAAGAAAAUUAAAGCUGAUGUCCAAAAAUGAUACUGACAUCCCAGGUCAGAAUGGUCGCCAGUUCCGAUCAAGACAGAGCCCCGUAUCUUCCAGGGACACUAGACAAGAUGCCAGGACCACGCCUCCGCUCUGCCCAGAGGCCAAAAGCAGCCCAACAAGGCAUGACUCGGUUCCAGAAAUACAAGCCAUAAGAUAGACCUCCAGACUCCUAGAGACGAUCUGAAGCUGCAGAAGCCCUCCACUGAAAGACCGGACCCACUGCCUACUCCUCCUGGCAGGUGCCCUGGACAAGGGCACAGACUUCACAGCGUUCAAGUGUGAAGGGAUUGUCCUUCUCCAGCCCUGGAUAUUAAAAGGUCUACCCCGAUGAGCCAUGGAGGGACUCUGAGUGUGUGUGUGUGUGUGUGUGUGUGUGUGUGUGUGUGUGUGUGUUGGAGGAGUUGCUUAUGGAAAAUAUUUUUCCUGCUCUUAAAAAGGGACUCCUGCCAGGCAUGGUGGCUCAUGCCUGUAAUCCAAGCAGUUUGGGAGGCCGAGGCAGGUGGAUCACCUGAGGUCAG